This 15335-nucleotide long non-coding RNA is filed under the name Salvia miltiorrhiza (redroot sage). RNAcentral describes it as "long non-coding RNA (SMIL_LNC006269)". The record is from RNAcentral. Lineage: Eukaryota; Viridiplantae; Streptophyta; Magnoliopsida; Lamiales; Lamiaceae.
GAUUUGUUUACUUUAAACUUUCUCAAGUAGAGGAAUUCCUAUAAGAUAGGAAUAUUAGUUUAUACUUUCUUAAAGUUCAUAAGAGUUAGUAUAUUGGUUAGUUUAGUUGAUUCAACCCUAGCUCUGCAGAAGAUUAAAAGUUUAUUGGGAUGUUAUUUAUAGCUAAUUCUUCUUAUCUAGUUAUCCAAUCUUAUUUUAGAAUCUUGUUAUUAUGAAGGUGACAAUAGCAAUGAUAGAUAAGUGAGCAAGAGUUCCUACACCGUUAAGCGUAUCAGGUGGGCAUUCUAAACUCAUAAUUUGAAGUGCGCACUAUUUAAUUAUGUUAUUAUAUGAAUGAAGUUAUAUUAAAGUUAUUGACUUGCCAAAAACUUUUUAUGAGCUUGUAUGUUACCAUCUACGAGAGAUAGACGAUAUCGGCCCUAUGCUGAAGCGAGAUGUCAGUAAGGGUUUGUGCACAUAGUUGUGACCGUGAGUCAUCGAGCGGGUUGGCCGGUCACUGUGAUCGGGAGCCUUCGGGCCGAUCACUGUGUUUGAGAAGGAGGCCUACUUCUCAACACAAGGUUACAUGAUGCGUAGUUAUGGUACAUACAUGUUAAUUGUGCAGACGUAUAUGAUAUUAUGAUGAUAUAUAUAUAGAAGUUUUACAGUUUUGGCGUGCACAGGUUAUUUAAAUAAAACUCCUGUGUGAUGCUUGAGAUGGCAAGUUCAAUAUAUAGCUCUAAGAGCAAACUUUAAAGUUAUUUCGGCAUGUGACCAUUGAGUACCUUUUUAGUACUCAGCCCUGCAUAUGUUUCUAAAUGUGCAGGUUAAGCUGUGAUGCAGAUGGAGGCGAGCAGAGCAAAGCUUUUGAAGUAUAAGUAUUAAAUUAGGCUCAGGAUUCCAUGUCUUCAUACAUGUAAUCCACUUAAGUAUUUCCGCUGCAACACUUAGUGUAUUUUACUUUAUUGAUGUGUUGUAUAGAUUUUAAAUCAAUAGCUUUGAGAAUUAUGUCACUGGAAAAUUUGACAACUUGUCGUUGUGUUAUUGUGAGUUGUCUGCCUAAGCAGUUUAGAAAAGAUUGCUCAUGAGUUUUAAAAGUGAUUUGCUCAUGAUUAUUCAAUACUAAAGUAAUUCAUCGUUAAAGAGGGUUCAUUAUUAUUAUUUAAAUCUCUUUCCUUUUUCAUUUUCUUUCUCCUUUUUCCCAGUCACACCUUUCCCCGGCUUAACUAUACACUAUAUUAGGCCGGGCUGUGACAAAGUGGUAUCAGAGCAGGUCGUUUGCUCUGAGCCUAAAUAUUCCUUUGAGUCUAGUCUAAAUUUGAAUCUUUGGACUAGUGUGAGUAAUAUAGUAAAAGCUCUGCUCUCCAUCUCAUCCAACUUAGCCAGGUACGGAUUUUCAGAGUUUUGAAGUAGCAUGUUACAUUUUUAAACAAGUUUUAGAUAUGAGUUGCAGUUUUGCAAGUAUUAGUAUGAUGGAAACUUAUAUAUUUUAAAAUGAGCAUGGACAACAUGAGUUAUUUAUGAGUAUCCUCUGCCUAUACGAACUUUUGAGAUUUGAAUGGAUAAAAGUGUUAUUCAUAUUUUAAUAUUUGUGUUUUGAUAUGUGGAUGGAGAUAUAGAAAGUUUGAUGAUACAAUAAUGACGUAUAUCAGUCGCGAUGUAACCUAGUACUAGUAGUGAUGUUAUACUAGUUACGGCACCACAAUUAAUACUAAGAGCUUUUUGCAACAUAUAUUCCUAUCUUUCGUAUGAGAACUCAUUGAGGCAAAUUUUCUCAUGAUAUGAAGUGAUCAAAGUGGUCAUNUGAGAAGGAGGCCUACUUCUCAACACUCAGAGUUAUUAUGAUGCGUAGAUAUGGUACAUACAUGUUAAUUGUCAGCAGACGUAUAUGAUGUUAUGAUGAUUAUAGAGAAGUUUUUAUAGUUUUGCAUGCACAGGUUAUUUAAAUAAAACCCAUGUGUGAUGCUUGAGAUGGCAAGUUCAAUAUAUAGCUCUAAGAGCAAGUUUAAAGUUAUUUCGGCAUGUAACCACUGAGUGCUAUUUGAUACUCAGCCCUGCGUAUGUUUCUAAAUAUGCAGGUUAAGCUGUGAUGUAGAUGGAAGCAAGCAGAGCAAAGCCUUCAGAGUAUAUUAAAUUAGGCUCAGGAUUCCAUGUCUUCAUACAUGUAAUCCACAUGAAUUAUCCGCUGCAACACUCAGUCUAUUCUACUUUGUUGAUGUGUUGUAACAAUAUUUUUAAAUCAAUAGCUUUGAGUAAUUAUAAUCACUUGAAAGUUAGACAACUUGUCGUUGUGUAUUGUAAGUUGUCUACUCAUGAGUUUUAAAAGUGAUUGCUUAUGAUUAUCCAAUAUUAAAGUAAUUCAUCGUUAAAGAGGGUUCAUUAUUAUUAUUUAAAUCUCUUUUAUUUUUCAUUUUCUUUUUCCCUUCCCCAGUCACACAUUUUCCCUGACUUAACUGUUGUUAGUUUAGGUCGGGCUGUGACAAAGUGGUAUCAGAGCAGGUUGUUUGCUCUGAGCCUAAACAUUCCCUUGAGUCUAGUCUAAAUUUGAAUCUUUAGACUAAAAUGAGUAAUAUAGUAAAAGCUCUGCGCUCCAUCUCAUCCAGCAUAGCCAGGUACUGAUUUUCAGAGUUUUAAAGAAUCAAUUUACAGUUUGAAAGAGUUUGAGUUGUUAAUAUUGCAACUUUGCAAGAAAGUUAUUAAUAUUGCAAUUUUGCAAGAAUCUAGUAUUUGGAGAAGUUUACAUGUUUACAAGUGAGUGAAUAUGAAUAACAUGAGUUAUUUAUGAGUAUCCUCUGCCUAUACGAACUUUUGAGAUUUGAAUGAAUAAAAGUGUUAUUCAUAUAUUAAUAUUUAUAUUUUGAUAUGUGGAUGGAGAUAUAUAUAGACAGAUUGAUGAUACAAUAAUGAUGUAUAUCAGUCGCGAUGUAACCUAGUACUAGUAGUGAUGUUAUACAGUUAGGGCACCACAAUCAGUACUAAGAGCUUUUUGCAACAUAUAUUCCUAUCUUUCGUAUGAGAACUCAUUGAGGCAAAUUUUCUCAUGAUAUGAAGUGAUCAGAGUGGUCAUUUACUAGGUUAUUAUUGAGCUUUACUUGCUUAGAUGAUUGAAUUUUUGUGUAUGAGUUUUAUAACUUAGUUGGAUUAUAGUUAAGUAGGAGUUUGACUUUACUGAUGGGAUGAAAGCUCAAUUUUGGAGAUUUUGUGUAUUUACUCGGCAUGAUGUCUCAAAGAAGCAGUGGAAAUCUGCCAUCCGCCAUGUGAAUAAUUUAGAGAACUACUCGUCCCCAUCAACUUGAAAGAAGAAUAGCAGAAGUUUUUCAUCGUCAAGAUCCCUUUAUUGCGAGUUAAGCGGUAGAGUUUCAAAGAGGCAGUAGAGUUUUACGAGUUUCGCUUCCUUAGAUGCAAUGAUCAAGAGCGCCUUCUUGUAUGUUAUUUCAACUACAAGGAUCGACUUAUNAGUAGUGGGAGACGAAGCAGAAGAUAUAUACCCUCGAGCGAUUAGAGAAUCUUAUUUGGGGCCAGUUCACAGAAGUUUUUAUGAAGAAUAUGUUUCCAGAAGCCGUCGUCAGCAAAAAGGAGACGUAAUUUAACAAUUUAAAGCAAUAGAAGAAGACAGUAGCUGAAUGUGAUCAAGGGUUUUGUGAUAUAGCUGGAUAUAUGCCUUAUAAGGCUGACACAUAUAUUAGUUGUAACUUUUGAUAGAGUUUUGAUGUAGUGCCUUUGCUUGUUGGCAAACCAAAUAUUCUUUCAGCUAUUGCAAGCCAAACAUUCCUUCAACUAAUGAAGAUAUCUCUUUUCCAUUUCAUCCCUCCCACCAAAAGUUUUGUUUGAAAUCUUGAUAUAAUUUAGUGCUUCUGUGGUGGGCAGUAUAUAGCGUAUCAUGAGCUUUACUCGUGAUUUUAUUUCUCAACUGUUCAGUAUUGGGUACACAACUUUUCUCAAACAUGAUAGCAGUACCCCUAGCUUUUUGGCAAGUAUUGACCCCUUCUAUCAAAAUCCUUACCCAUAAUUUUUCUCCUUUUUAUUUUCCCCAUGUACUUUAACAAUUCUUCUUCUCAAAUCAAAAAUCAUUGUUAACAUUGCAAUUACAGCUUCUCUUGUUUGCUGUGGUAGAACCAUUUGUAAAUCCAACUUUCAAAUCCUUGAUGAGAAUUUUUCUUCAUGGGUAAGGAGAAAUCCUUAGUAAACUUGAGUUUUUCUACUCAAGGCAUCCACUAUUAUAUUGGCUUUGCGUGGGUGAUAAUUUAUUCUACAAUCAUAGUCCCUUACUAAUUCGAGCUAUAUUCCUUGUCUCACACUUAGAUCUUUUGCUCGAAUAAGUAUUUUAAACUUUUAUGAGGUGUAUCAAUUCCACAUCUCGUUUCAGAAUACCAUUGUUGCUAGUUCCAAGUUAUGUUGAGCAAUUCAGUUCUUGUGGUCUAUGUUCUCAUGACCCAAUAACAAUAACUCUUUCACUUUGCAACAAUGCACAACCAAGUCCAUCUUUGAUACACAGGACCAAUUUUAUAUGGUCUUUCAACUUUGAGAAUUCGGCCAUAUUUUAAAAUAGCCUUUCAUCCAACAACAGAUGAGCAAUUUGAGAGAAAUCUUUAAACCUUAGAAGAUGUGACAUAGACUAUUGUACUAGAGCGAAGAAGUGGCGACCUUAGCAGUAGGGACACUGGCGAUCGUAAGAAAUUCUGGGUUCCAAAACUCUCUUUCCAAAAAUGAUUUUUCAGAAGGAGCGAAUUCCCCGCAAACAAGGCAGGAGACGACUAUCUCAAGGUGCAUCACGCGUACUCAGAAGCCGCAUUAUGCACUAGAUUGAAGGAUGAAUUGGGAAAACCUUUUGCUAGUAAUUGAAUUGGCCUACAAUUAUAGCUUUCGGGCAAUAAUUGAUAUGACACCAUAUGGAGCUUAUUGUGGAAAGAAAUAUUGAUCUCCACUCUAUUGACAUGAGGUAAGUGAAAGAAAAGUAACAGGACCUGAUGCGCUUGAAGAAAUGAUUACGCUUAUCCGACAAAUUCAACAACUGCUCAACGAACCUCAAGAGCGACAGAAAUUUUUUUUUGUAGAUACUCGUUGAUUUGAUUUGAAAUUUUUGAAAUAGGGGAUGAAGUUUUUCUCAGUGUUCCGCAUUCUAAGAAUGCACAAAUUCGAUGUGAAAGAGAAGUAUCUAGCAUUAUUCUCUGACGUAGUCAAAUUUCGAGGACGAAAUUUCUUUAAGGGGGAGAGGAUGUAACACCCAGCAUUUUCACUACAGUAUAUAUAUUAUUUUCUAUUAUCUAAAAGAAGAAAGAGAAGUAGAAUCACUGAGAUGAGAUGAGAUAUUAUUAUAAUACCUUGAGCUUUUAAUUCAAUGAUUGCAUAAUUUGAAUAAUUAAGUAUUCUUGCUUUCUUUAUUAUUUUCAUUCUUGGAAGCAAGUUUAUAAUUCCUAGUUAAAGGGAUUAUUUUAUUAUUUUUCAGAGAUGAGAUUGGUGAUAAAUACGAAAUAUUAUUAGUCGACUUAUUGCUCGGCUAAUUGAAGUGACGGAUGUUAUUUAAUUAUUUAUCUAUGAGCUUUCUUUUUUUUUAAUAGUGAUAGUUUGAGGAAAUUUAGUAUAUCGUGGACGGAGGGAGUAUUAUAUUUCAUUGGGUGUAUAAUAAUUUAUUAAUUUAGAUAGCUAUCAAAUACUACUUGAGCUUGGAGCACAAGUUUCGUGAGUCAUAUUAGUGUAGAGAAUUGCUUUUCUAAUUUAUUCUUAUUUUUAUUUGAUCUAAUUUGAGGGCCACAAAAUAAGGCUUAUAGGAAAAGCCAAGUUUUACCUCUUAUUAUUUAUUUCUUCUACAAACCUCAAAUGGGCCGAUCAAGUAAGGGAAAUGAGGUUUGAAUUAUAUUGCUCAUUUCUAUAAUUGGAUUUAAAUUUUUAAUGUUUGAGAUAAGCAUUUAUUUAUUGUAAAGUGUAUAUAUUAGUUUGAGGAGAUUCAUUUCCUUUUCUUCUCCCCAAAACAGUCGACCUUCUCCCCUCUCUCUUUAUGGAACCUCAGUUUAGUUUGCUUUCAACCUUCAAGAAGAUUCAGCCGCCACCUCUGCUCCGACCGCCGUCGGCUGCCGUCGAGUCCAAGUCCGACGUCUCGUCUGUUCUUCCCUGGUGCCCCUCGCACUACUCUCAUCUUCUCUCAAUUUAGCGAAGAACCCAAAUGAGAAGCCCUAAUUUCAAAAUCCGAAAUCGCCGUCACCCGAGCCCGAAAUUCGGCAAUACAGCAUCCUCCUCUUCGACGUGGUCGAAGUUCUCGCACCGGAAGUCCUCGCCGUUCCCCCUUCUUUUCCGGUGUGGAGCCCUAAUUCUUAGUAGAAGGAAAUUACUACUGUCGCGACUGGAAGGCCAACGAACGGCUGAGCUUCGCCCAUCUCUGCCUUGAAUCCAUGCUCGAGAAGGAGAGAAAGGAAAACGAGCCCUAAUUCUUUUCUACUCCCGCCGUCAUGGUUCGGCUGCCACCUCCGCCGUCUGUGGAAGACCGGCGAUUCAGCGGCGCCGCUCCAUUCACAACGCCGCUACUGCUGCUACACGAUCCCCUCCGAGGCAGCAAGCGCUGCUGUCAUCAUCGUCGUCUUGGCUCGACUGAACAGGGUCGCGUCCCUCGUCGUCGAAAAGUUAGUAUUCUACUUGUUAUUGUAGAAAGUGUUUGAUGUUGCUUGUGAUUUCUGAGUUCAUGCCAUAAUAAUCGAGGCAUAGGUGACUUCUCUCUAAGAUUCCUAAAGUGAGAUAUUAAACAAAAUGUUAUAUGUUUCUAAGUUAGUAAUUACUUUAAAUUAAGUAAAAUGAUGGCAGGAAUCAUAGCUUCAGCCCAAAGCUUCGAUUUUUGACCCUCCCUCAAGAACCCCAGAAUUUCAUCUUCUUUAUAUUUGUAUCAAUUGACUAUGUAUACAUGUCUAUAUGUAUGUGAAGAAUUGAUUGGGAUUUAUUUGGGUAUUUAUUCACAAGAAAACAUGAUUCCCUAAUAGUUUAGUUUAAGUGGAUUUGGGAGUUCUUGGAAUAAGCUAGCUACAUGUUUGAUGCUUGUGUAAUUGUACUCCUUGAAUUGUAAAAUGAGAUUAUAUGACAAUAGUUGGAGGAUAUCAAGCAUGCUACUAUAUGUUGAUGUGUUGAACAUGAAUUACGUUUAAGCUAAAGCAUGCUAAUGUGUAGUAAGAUGAUGUAUUUGAGUUACUAUAGCUUUUAUUUGAUAAAAAUAUGAGUUAUAUGUUGAGUUGAGAUGAAGAAGGUAUUGCUGUUGGUUUUGCUGUACAGGACAGUACCUUGUAAGGUAUUUUCGGGAGUGUUCCUGUGAUCCAAAUAACUUGAAUUUUACUGUAUAACUUCAUCAUGAGUAGUAGAUCUCUGCAAAUUUCAGCUAAAUCCGAGACCAAUAGACAUGUCAAACUAUUUUCUGAAAUGUACUGCGUGAAGCAGCGUAGUUCAGUGGCAGAUUCUACCUUUGGUGAUAUAACUUCUUAUACACUUGAGAUAUUGUAUUUUUGUAAAUUUCUAAGAAAUAUAGACGUUAAUAGCUUUCUAAAAAGGUAAAGCUCGUAUUUUUCCUUGAAGCGAUUGAUUUUAUAUGAUUUUCCAAAGUUAGGAUUCAAAUGUGUAUGUGUCUUGAUUAAACUUGUGAUUGGUAGUUAAUUGAGAUCCUACACUACUAAACUUGAAUUGAGGUUUUAUUGUUCUAACUACCUAUUGAGGAUUAUUGAUUACUAAAGCUUGUUAAUAUGAUAGUUGAUGGACAUAAUUAUGUUUAUAUGAUUAAUUACUUUGGGAUUUUGUGUUUUACAUGUAUGGUUAGUUGUAAACUGAUCUCUAUGGAAUGGAUUUGUUUACUUCUAAACUUUCUCAAGUAGAGGAAUUCCUAUAAGAUAGGAAUAUUAGUUUAUACUUUCUUAAAGUUCAUAAGAGUUAGUAUAUUGGUUAGUUUAGUUGAUUCAACCCUAGCUCUGCAGAAGAUUAAAAGUUUAUUGGGAUGUUAUUUAUAGCUAAUUCUUCUUAUCUAGUUAUCCAAUCUUAUUUUAGAAUCUUGCUAUUAUGAAGGUGACAGUAGCAAUGAUAGAUAAGUGAGCAAGAGUUUCUACAUCGUUAAGCGUAUCAGGUGGGCUUUCUAAACUCAUAAUUUGAAGUGCGCACUAUUUAAUUAUGUUAUUAUAUGAAUGAAGUUAUAUUAAAGUUAUUGACUUGCCAAAACUUUUAUGAGCUUGUAUGUUACCAUCUACGAGAGAUAGACGAUAUCGGCCCUAUGCUGAAGCGAGAUGUCAGUAAGGGUUUGUGCACAUAGUUGUGACCGUGAGUCAUCGAGCGGGUUGGCCGGUCACUGUGAUCGGGAGCCUUCGGGCCGAUCACUGUGUUUGAGAAGGAGGCCUACUUCUCAACACAAGGUUACAUGAUGCGUAGUUAUGGUACAUACAUGUUAAUUGUCUGCAGACGUAUAUGAUAUUAUGAUGAUAUAUAUAUAGAAGUUUUACAGUUUUGGCGUGCACAGGUUAUUUAAAUAAAACUCCUGUGUGAUGCUUGAGAUGGCAAGUUCAAUAUAUAGCUCUAAGAGCAAACUUUAAAGUUAUUUCGGCAUGUGACCAUUGAGUACCUUUUUAGUACUCAGCCCUGCAUAUGUUUCUAAAUGUGCAGGUUAAGCUGUGAUGCAGAUGGAGGCGAGCAGAGCAAAGCUUUUGAAGUAUAAGUAUUAAAUUAGGCUCAGGAUUUCAUGUCUUCAUACAUGUAAUCCACUUAAGUUAUUCCGCUGCAACACUUAGUGUAUUUUACUUUAUUGAUGUGUUGUACAGAUUUUAAACCAAUAGCUUCGAAAAUUAUGUCACUUGAAAAUUUGACAACUUGUCGUUAUGUAUUGUGAGUUGUCUGCUUUGAGUUUUAGAAAAGAUUGUUUAUGAUUACCAAAUAUUUAGGUAAAUUAUUGUUUAAGCAAGAUGAUUAUUUUUAUUGAAACCUCUUUUAUUUUCCAUUUUCUUUUUCCAUUUCCCCAGUCACAUUUUCCCCGGCUUAACUGUUGUUAGCUUAGGUCGGGCUGUGACAGAGUGGUAUCAGAGCAGGUCAUUUGCUCUGAGCCUAAAUAUCCUUUUGAGUCUAGUCUAAAUUUGAAUCUUUGGACUAGUAUGAGUAAUAUAGUAAAAGCUCUGCUCUCCAUCUCAUCCAGCUUAGCCAGGUACGGAUUUUUCAGAGUUUUAAAGUAGCAUGUUACAUUUUUAAACAAGUUUGAGAUAUGAGUUGCAGUUUUGCAAGUAUUAGUAUGAUGGAAACUUAUAUAUUUUAAAAUGAGCAUGGACAACAUGAGUUAUUUUUGAGUAUCCUCUGCCUAUACGAACUUUUGGAUUUGAAUGGAUAAAAGUGUUAUUCAUAUAUUAAUAUUUAUAUUUUGAUAUGUGGAUGGAGAUAUAGACAGUUUGAUGAUACAAUAAUGAUGUAUAUCAGUCGCGAUGUAACCUAGUACUAGUAGUGAUGUUAUACAGUUAGGGCACCACAAUUAGUACUAAGAGCUUUUUGCAACAUAUAUUCCUAUCUUUCGUAUGAGAACUCAUUGAGGCAAAUUUUCCCAUGAUAUGAAACGACCGAAGUAGUCAUUUACUAGGUUGUUGAGCUUUAAUUGCUUAGAUGAUUGAAAUUUUGUGUAUGAGUUUUAUACUUUAGUUGGUUUAUAGUUAUGUAGCAGUUUGACUUUACGGAUGGAAUAAAAGCUCAAUUAUGGGGAUUUUGUGUAUUUACUCGGCAUGAUAUCUCAAAGAAGAAAUGGAAAUUUGCCAUCCGCCAUGUGAAUAAUUUAGAGGAAAGUUUUUCAUCAUCAAGAUCCCCCUAUUCAUAGUAGAGUUUCACGAGUUUCGCUUCCUUAGAUGCAAUGAUCAAGAGCGCCUUCUUGUAUGUUAUUUCAACUACAAGGAUCGACUGAUUCUUAGUGGGAGACGAAGCAGAAGAUACAUACCCUCGAGCGAUUAGAGAAUCUUAUUUGGGGCCACGUCACAGAAGUUUCUAUGAAGAACAUGUUCCCAGAAGCUACCAUAAGCAAAUGAAGAUGAUCGUGGUUGAAUAUGAUUGAGAGUUUUGAGACAUAUCUCGAUAUACGCCUUAUAAGGUUGAAACAUAGAGUAGUUGUAACUUUUGAUAGAGUUUUGAUGUAGUGCCUUUACUUGUUGGCAAACCAAAUAUUCUUUCAGCUAUUGCAAGCCAAACAUUCCUUCAACUAAUGAAGAUAUCUCUUUUCCAUUUCAUCCCUCCCACCAAAAGUUUUGUUUGAAAUCUUGAUAUAAUUUAGUGCUUCUGUGGUGGGCAGUAUAUAGCGUAUCAUGAGCUUUACUCGUGAUUUUAUUUCUCAACUGUUCAGUAUUGGGUACACAACUUUUCUCAAACAUGAUAGCAGUACCCCUAGCUUUUUGGCAAGUAUUGACCCCUUCUAUCAAAAUCCUUACCCAUAAUUUUUCUCCUUUUUAUUUUCCCCAUGUACUUUAACAAUUCUUCUUCUCAAAUCAAAAAUCAUUGUUAACAUUGCAAUUACAGCUUCUCUUGUUUGCUGUGGUAGAACCAUUUGUAAAUCCAACUUUCAAAUCCUUGAUGAGAAUUUUUCUUCAUGGGUAAGGAGAAAUCCUUAGUAAACUUGAGUUUUUCUACUCAAGGCAUCCACUACUAUAUUGGCUUUGCGUGGGUGAUAAUUUAUUCUACAAUCAUAGUCCCUUACUAAUUCGAGCUAUAUUCCUUGUCUCACACUUAGAUCUUUUGCUCGAAUAAGUAUUUUAAACUUUUAUGAGGUGUAUCAAUUCCACAUCUCGUUUCAGAAUACCAUUGUUGCUAGUUCCAAGUUAUGUUGAGCAAUUCAGUUCUUGUGGUCUAUGUUCUCAUGACCCAAUAACAAUAACUCUUUCACUUUGCAACAAUGCACAACCAAGUCCAUCUUUGAUACACAGGACCAAUUUUAUAUGGUCUUUCAACUUUGAGAAUUCGGCCAUAUUUUAAAAUAGCCUUUCAUCCAACAACAGAUGAGCAAUUUGAGAGAAAUCUUUAAACCUUAGAAGAUGUGACAUAGACUAUUGUACUAGAGCGAAGAAGUGGCGACCUUAGCAGUAGGGACACUGGCGAUCGUAAGAAAUUCUGGGUUCCAAAACUCUCUUUCCAAAAAUGAUUUUUCAGAAGGAGCGAAUUCCCCGCAAACAAGGCAGGAGACGACUAUCUCAAGGUGCAUCACGCGUACUCAGAAGCCGCAUUAUGCACUAGCUUGAAGGAUGAAUUGGGAAAACCUUUUGCUAGUAAUUGAAUUGGCCUACAAUUAUAGCUUUCGGGCAAUAAUUGAUAUGACACCAUAUGGAGCUUAUUGUGGAAAGAAAUAUUGAUCUCCACUCUAUUGACAUGAGGUAAGUGAAAGAAAAGUAACAGGACCUGAUGCGCUUGAAGAAAUGAUUACGCUUAUCCGACAAAUUCAACAACUGCUCAACGAACCUCAAGAGCGACAGAAAUUUUUUUUUUUUUUUUUUUUAGAUACUCGUUGAUUUGAUUUGAAAUUUUUGAAAUAGGGGAUGAAGUUUUUCUCAGUGUUCCGCAUUCUAAGAAUGCACAAAUUCGAUGUGAAAGAGAAGUAUCUAGCAUUAUUCUCUGACGUAGUCAAAUUUCGAGGACGAAAUUUCUUUAAGGGGGAGAGGAUGUAACACCCAGCAUUUUCACUACAGUAUAUAUAUUAUUUUCUAUUAUCUAAAAGAAGAAAGAGAAGUAGAAUCACUGAGAUGAGAUGAGAUAUUAUUAUAAUACCUUGAGCUUUUAAUUCAAUGAUUGCAUAAUUUGAAUAAUUAAGUAUUCUUGCUUUCUUUAUUAUUUUCAUUCUUGGAAGCAAGUUUAUAAUUCCUAGUUAAAGGGAUUAUUUUAUUAUUUUUCAGAGAUGAGAUUGGUGAUAAAUACGAAAUAUUAUUAGUCGACUUAUUGCUCGGCUAAUUGAAGUGACGGAUGUUAUUUAAUUAUUUAUCUAUGAGUUUUUUUUUUUAAUAGUGAUAGUUUGAGGAAAUUUAGUAUAUGUAUAUAGAAUUGUAUUAUAUUUCAUUGGGUGUAUAAUAAUUUAUUAAUUUAGAUAGCUAUCAAAUACUACUUGAGCUUGGAGCACAAGUUUCGUGAGUCAUAUUAGUGUAGAGAAUUGCUUUUCUAAUUUAUUCUUAUUUUAUUUGAUCUAAUUUUGAGGGCACAAAAUACUUAAGGAAAAGCCAAGUUUCCUCAUAUUAUGUAGAGAAUUGCUUUUCUAAUUUAUUCUUAUUUUUAUUUGAUCUAAUUUUGAGGGCCACAAAAUAAGGCUUAUAGGAAAAGCCAAGUUUUCCUCUUAUUAUUUAUUUCUUCUACAAACCUCAAAUGGGCCGAUCAGUAAGGGAAAUGAGGUUUGAAUUAUAUUGCUCAUUUCUAUAAUUGGAUUUAAAUUUUUAAUGUUUGAGAUAAGCAUUUAUUUAUUGUAAAGUGUAUAUAUUAGUUUGAGGAGAUUCAUUUCCUUUUCUUCUCCCCAAAACAGUCGACCUUCUCCCCUCUCUCUUUAUGGAACCUCAGUUUGAGUUUACUUUCAACCUUCAAGAAGAUUCAGCCGCCGCCUCUGCUCCGACCGUCGUCGGCUGCCGUCGGGUCCAAGUCCGGCGUCUCGUCUGUUCUUCCCUGGUGCCCCUCGCACUACUCUCAUCUUCUCUCAAUUUAGCGAAGAACCCAAAUGAGAAGCCCUAAUUUCAAAAUCCGAAAUCGCCGUCACCCGAGCCCGAAAUUCGGCAAUACAGCAGCCUCCUCUUCAACGUGGUCGAAGUUCUCGCACCGGAAGUCCUCGCCGUUCCCCCUCUUUUUCGAUGUGGAGCCCUAAUUAUUAGAAGAAGGAAAUUACUACUGUCGCGACUGGAAGGCCAACGAACGGCUGAGCUUCGCCCAUCUCUGCCUUGAAUCCAUGCUCGAGAAUGAGAGAAAGGGAAACGAGCUCUAAUUCUUUUCUACUCCCGCCGUCAUGGUUCGGCUGCCACCUCCGCCGUCUGUGGAAGACCGGCGAUUCAGCGGCGCCGCUCCAUUCACGACGCCGCUACUGCUGCUACACGAUCCCCUCCGAGGCAGGAAGCGCUGCUGUCAUCAUCGUCGUCUUGGCUCGACUGAACAGGGUAGCGUCCCUCGUCGUCGAAAAGUUAAGUAUUCUACUUGUUAUUGUAGAAAGUGUUUGAUGUUGCUUGUGAUUUCUGAGUUCAUGCCAUAAUAAUCGAGGCAUAGGUGACUUCUCUCUAAGAUUCCUAAAGUGAGAUAUUAAACAAAAUGUUAUAUGUUUCUAAGUUAGUAAUUACUUUAAAUUAAGUAAAAUGAUGGCAGGAAUCAUAGCUUCAGCCCAAAGCUUCGAUUUUUGACCCUCCCUCAAGAACCCCAGAAUUUCAUCUUCUUUAUAUUUGUAUCAAUUGACUAUGUAUACAUGUCUAUAUGUAUGUGAAGAAUUGAUUGGGAUUUUAUUUGGGUAUUUAUUCACAAGAAAACAUGAUUCCCUAAUAGUUUAGUUUAAGUGGAUUUGGGAGUUCUUGGAAUAAGCUAGCUACAUGUUUGAUGCUUGUGUAAUUGUACUCCUUGAAUUGUAAAAUGAGAUUAUAUGACAAUAGUUGGAGGAUAUCAAGCAUGCUACUAUAUGUUGAUGUGUUGAACAUGAAUUACGUUUAAGCUAAAGCAUGCUAAUGUGUAGUAAGAUGAUGUAUUUGAGUUACUAUAGCUUUUAUUUGAUAAAAAUAUGAGUUAUAUGUUGAGUUGAGAUGAAGAAGGUAUUGCUGUUGGUUUUGCUGUACAGGACAGUACCUUGUAAGGUAUUUUCGGGAGUGUUCCUGUGUUCGAAAUGAUUUGAAAUUUUUACAGUAAUUACUUCAUUAUGAGUAUUAGAUCUCUGCAAAAUUUCAGCUAAAUCCGAGACCAAUAGACAUGUCAAACUAUUUUCUGAAAUGUACUGCACGGAGCAGCAGAGUUCAGUGCAGAUUCUGUCUUUGGUCAUAUAACUUCUUAUCCACUUGAGAUUUUGUGUUUUUGUAAAUUUCUGAGAAAUAUAGACAUCAAUAGCUUUCUAAAAAGGUAAAACUCGUAUUUUUCCUUGAAGCGAUUGAUUUUAUAUGAUUUUCCAAAGUUAGGAUUCAAAUGUGUAUGUGUCUUGAUUAAACUUGUGAUUGGUAGUUAAUUGAGAUCCUACACUACUAAACUUGAAUUAAGGUUUUAUUGUUCUAAUUACCUAUUGAGAAUUAUUGAUUACUAAGCUUGUUAAUAUGAUAGUUGAUGGACAUAAUUAUGCUUAUAUGAUUAAUUACUUUGGGAUUUUGUGUUUUACAUGUAUGGUUAGUUGUAAACUGAUCUCUAUGGAAUGGAUUUGUUUACUUCUAAACUUUCUUAAGUAGAGGAAUUCCUAUAAGAUAGGAAUAUUAGUUUAUACUUUCUUAAAGUUCAUAGAGUUAGUAUAUUGGUUAGUUUAGUUGAUGCAACCCUAGUAGUUUAUUGGGAUGUUAUUUAUAGCUAAUUCUUCUUAUCUAGUUAUCCAAUCUUAUUUUAGAAUCUUGCUAUUAUGAAGGUGACAGUAGCAAUGAUAGAUAAGUGAGCAAGAGUUUCUACAUCGUUAAGCGUAUCAGGUGGGCUUUCUAAACUCAGAAUUUGAAGUGCGCACUAUUUAAUGAUGUUAUUAUAUGAAUGAAGUUAUAUUAAAGUUAUUGACUUGCCAAAUUAUUUUAUGAGCUUGUAUGUUACCAUCUACGAGAGAUAGACGAUAUCGGCCCUAUGCUGAAGCGAGAUGUCAGUAAGGGUUUGUGCACAUAGUUGUGACCGUGAGUCAUCGAGCGGGUUGGCCGGUCACUGUGAUCGGGAGCCUUCGGGCCGAUCACUGUGUUUGAGAAGGAGGCCUACUUCUCAACACAAGGUUACAUGAUGCGUAGUUAUGGUACAUACAUGUUAAUUGUCUGCAGACGUAUAUGAUGUUAUGAUGAUAUAUAUAUAUAUAGAAGUUCUACAGUUUUGGCGUGCACAGGUUUUUUUUAAAUAAAACACAUGUGUGAUGCUUGAGAUGGCAAGAGCAAUAUAUAGCUCUAAGAGCAAGCUUUAAAGUUAUUUCGGCAUGACCAUUGAGUGCUUUUCGGUACUCAGCCCUGCAUAUGUUUCUAAAUAUGCAGGUUAAGCUGUGAUGUAGAUGGAAGCGAGCAGAGCAAAUUCUUUGAUGUAUAUGUAUUAAACCAGGCUCAGGAUUCCAUGUCUUCAUACAUGUAAUCCACAUGAAUUAUUCCGCUGCAACACUUAGUCUAUUCUACUUUAUUGAUGUGUUGUACAUAUUUUAAAUCAAUAGCUUCGAGAAUUAUGUCACUUGAAAGUUAGACAACUUGUCGUUGUGUAUUGUAAGUUGUCUACUCAUGAGUUUUAAAAGUGAU